Molecule: long non-coding RNA, 5197 nt
Organism: Oreochromis niloticus (Nile tilapia)
Lineage: Eukaryota; Metazoa; Chordata; Actinopteri; Cichliformes; Cichlidae
Exons: 2
Source: RefSeq, a predicted model, not a curated record
GAAAGAAAGAGGAAAAAUAUCUGAACAGGUGACUGCGCGCUACAAAAACACAACUACAAAGGCAUUCUCAUAUGUAUUCCAAGCCUCGUGCUUGUUUAAGGAUGGGAUGUAGCAUUUUUUUCCUAACUGUAAAUGUAACACCAAAUAACCCAUUUCUCAUGCAAAUAGAGGCAAGAAAAAAAAACAGACAUACUUAAUAGAUCAGUAAGUCAAUUAAUCACUACCGUCUGGGAAAAUGUGGCCAAGGCAAACACUGACAAGGAAGGGCUAUCAGCUGAUCUGAUGACUGAGGUCCAAGUGUGAGGCUGGAGGUCUGUUGAACCUGGCUGCAUACUCCUGGGACUCAAUCAUCAGCCAUAAAACAUUAGGGCACGAGGGCCGCGAGUAAAUCUCUCGGCGACCCAUUAUUUGGUUUGGAGUUAGGGAGGCGUAUUCUGUAAGCGAGUUACCUGUGUCGCCGUUUGGAAGAAAGCGAGAGACCAUCUCGCUGAAAUGCUUGUUUGCAGAGACCUUGUUGCUUUAAGCACCUCUGAUGAAUUACAUUCACACUGAAAGGUCUGAUCAGCGGAGAGAGACCUGAUAAAUACACUGCUGUAACGUCUGCCUGCUAAAGAUUAGCCACAGCCCCCUCUCCCUGUGAUCAACAGCGUCCCACAGACUGUAUCCAUCUCUCUAAAUGCGCAACAUUCUGACAAAUGAAAAUGAAUGGUGGCUAAGAUGGUGCUCUGAAGGGCCCCGGUGUUGUGGGCAUUCCUGGGGAAGCGAACGUGCUUUUGCUGAAAGGUAGGGAUCUCCACCGGAUCACUAUAUGAGACCUAAACAUCUGGCUGUGGGAGCUGAAAUCAAACUGGACAGCGUAAAAUUGACUUCAUAAGUUGUGUCUAGGGAGACUAAUGGUUUGGAUGGGGAGGAGAUGUUGGGAGAAUUUAUCUGCGUGCUCCUGUUCCGGGCAGGAACCAUCCACAAGCUGCAUGUGGAAGAUAUAAGCCAGGUACUCAUAGCCCAAGUGGAUAAAGUGGAAUGCAAGGGAGAGAAGGAGCAGGGAGGAAUGUCAUUGAUCAUAACAGCAAGAAAAGCCAAGUUCAGAAGAGACAGUGAUACCAUUUCUUUUUUUUUCUUUUGUUAGUCAAACCAUCAUCGCGAGGAUGAAACCGUGUGCCCACUUCGCCAAAUACACAAAGACAAAGCAAACUAGGGGGUGAAAGAUUGUUCUGAGCUUUGUUAUUACCUCAGGUAUUUGGUAUGCCCUUACCUCUGUCCAUCUGGUUUGCAUUAGAGUCCUGAUAAUGAUGGGUUUAAGUGUCUGUUUUUGUUUGUUUUGCUUCCCAUAGUUUGUGUCAGGAAAAGGCAUUUGUUUCAUUAAGGGGUCAAUUGCAGGCAGUAAAUGGCUAAUGAUGUAGUGAUGGUCAUUCAGCAAGGCUGCUUGGUUAAUUGUUUUUACUUUCUGUCUGAGAAAGUGGAGAGGAAAAAGUAGUAAAAAGAAAAAAAUGGCUGCCUUGUGCUAUAAUUUAGAAUGAGUGAUGCUCAUGUGAAGCUCUGCUGGUUCCUGAGCUGCCGGCGAUCAGUUUCGAGUCGCGAGGCGCUGGAGCUUGGACUGAAACAAUCAGCUGACUGACUGAGAAGUAAAAGAGAAAUAAAACGGUGAGAUUUAAUUAGCUGCCAAUUUACCAGAUCUAAACUUAAAGAAAAAUCCAGGGCGGCUUUAUUUUAUUGCAAUUAAUUUGGUGCUGGCCUCACUUUGGGGUUAACUCUUAAUUGCACUUUACAUACUAAUCUAUCAGUAAAUCACAUCUUCCUGACAGGAAAUGGGAGUUGUAGCCUAAAAGUAAUAUAAUUUUGAUCAUAUAGAUGAUCUGCUUACACUUAGGACACUUUGGAGACCGUUGUUUGUUUUUGGCUAAUGAUUGAAAGAACAACAGGAUGAUUAAAACAUUUUGAUAAACAUUUUGACUUCGGUAUUUAGAACAAAGCCACGUACCCUGAUUCCAGACACUAAGCUAAGCAGCUGCUUUUUUGAAAAGACAACAAUCUCCUAAAUGUCCAAAAAAAAAAAAAAAAGAUCAAAAAUCCUGCAUCCAGCUGCUCAAAUUAGAUUUUUUUUAACUGUCUUCUAGGAGCAGUAAAUUGAUUGGAUUUGGCUUUUUAAAAAUAUUACCUAUUUAUUUGGACCAUAAAAGUGGGCCAAAUAAAUAAAGCUGUGCUUCAAAUCGCUCUGAGGCUGCAGAUUAAUUUGAAUUAAAAAAAAUCUAAAAAAUAGUUGCAGGCCUUGAAUAUAUUAUUUCUAAAUGUCAGAAAAACUCUUUGCUCUUGGAACGUAAGAAAUCAUCUUUUCUAACUCUAUGUUCUCCGGCAGCAGCAUUGUUGCUUUUGCUGUCAGGCCACACCACAUCUAAAUGAAAAUGCAGCUGACUUCAAGUGCUGCCAUUAACCAGUCCUCAGUCUCUAAUGAAAUCCAUUAGCUCUAACCGGGGAGACUUGGCUUGUAUUAUUUCCACCCCAUUUUUCCUCAGAUUGCUUCCUCGCUAUCUCAUCACAGACAGAAUCCAUCUUUGGUCUUCAUCAUUCUUUUUUCUCGUUUUUUUUUCUUCUUUUUUUGGAAACACUCCUUCCUGGGCUGUGUUACAGCAUGCAGAUAAACACACACAACGGGGUUUGCUGUCUAAACGCCAGAUUUCUCAGCUGUCAGGACGCUACCAGCUCUGCUCAGCAGCUGGGCCUAUGACAGAUCCAACACAAACUCACACUUCAGGAUCUUCUUUCGUAGCAUCUCACCAGAGCGAGCCGACGUUCAAAGGGAGCGUCCACUUGGCAGGUUUCACUCGUGCUUUGCUCCACUUUUUUUCCCUUCUUUUCCCCUCCUGUCUUUAACCUUGGUCUUGGCACCAGUCUUGGUUUUCACACUGAUCUACUGAAAUGUCCCAUCAUCGCUCACUCACUCGAGUCUAGCGGCUGGAAGGGUUUUCGCAGGUAUUUCUGACACACCCUGUCCCUGAAUCACACUCGGCAGUGGUGAGAUUACAGCCUUUUGUCACCUUGUCUGUUAGAGCUUGGCUCUGGCUGACAGGAGAUGGAUGUGUCAGGUGAGCAAUCCCAUUCAGAAAAGAUAGGAGGAGGAGGAGGAGGAAGGGUGAUGCCCCAUAAAAAGAGUGAAGAUUUUUUAUAUUGCAGCACAGCUGAAGUUGGGCCAUAUUUGAUCAGAUCCAAAAGCCAGGACUCGACACUAGCAGUUGCAGGAAUUGUGGUUUCCCAAAGAAAUCGUGCAGGUGACAACAGGGGAUAUUUUUACAUUGCAGUGUAUGUGAGGAGCACGAUGUCCACCUGUAGAGAACUGUCAUCAGCUCCAGCAAUAGCUCACUGUCAGACACGCUUGAUUUACAUUGCUAAGCUUCCCCUGUCUAUACCCCGUUUUCCCUUCUCCAGACCGCGACUGCUGUCUUCUUCCCUCUCCAGGAGAAACCCGUCAGUGCACAUGCCAAUGCAGGUGAGCGCCCACCUAAAUGAGCAUCCAUCUGGUUUAACAGCUUGUAAACACUUAAGUCUCACGUCUUCAUACAACAUAGUCUCGACCCUGACAAAUUCCCAAAAAUGCACACUGCACCAGAGCAGAGGGGGAAAAAUGCUAUGAAAUGAUAUCAGGCUUUCCAGGUCAAGCAGAAGAUAAAGGCCUCUGGAAGCCAUGCGAAAUACAUUAACCUCCAUUCCUGAGGCUAUCUGUCUUUAUCUGGCCUUGAUAAGCUCACUUCACAGCCUUUCAGCCUCGCUAAAUCAUAACUGCGCUGCGUUGUGUCACAUUCAGUUUCCCCACCGUUUCACCAAAAAAAACAGGAGAAAAAAAAAAAAGCAUCCAUCUGCCCUGCCAGCCAGCUCUGCUGUACUGGACUGUAUCGCAGGGGCAAUUUGUGGGAAGUGGGAUGCUGUGGCACUUACAGCCUCCUCAGCCUUUAUUGCAGCCUCCCACUGUGAACUACUGUUCCCUUUACUGCAGAUGUGUUUUUUGUUUGGCUAAGGGGCCUCUCAGGUUUUGAUAUUUUUAUUACCUCUCAAGGGUCAUCAGUCAGGACCCCGGGCCAGGGUCCACCAACCGGCAGGUCCCCCCGCCCACUUGCUAUGGCCACACAAAAAUACUUUUGUGGGAAGAACUGAGGAUAGCUGUCUGGACGUCACACUGAGCUGCACUUCAGAAUAAUUUAAAAGCCCCCGUUGGAUCCUUUCCCUCUCCUUGUGCUUUCUGCCUGUCAUACUCAUCCUGGAUUACACGCUGAAUCAAUAUUUUGUUGCUCGAGCAAAAUAAACCAAAUAAACCCCUCUCCUCCUGUUUUCGGUAUAUUGAAUCAAAUCCUUCGUGGUGUUUUCCUAGACACAUAUUUAGGGGUGAAAAAAAAUGGAGCUUUGCAAAUAUUUCUAAUUCAAGCAUUCAUUUGUAAAAAGCCUCGGAAAGAAUAAUACCGCUUUCACUGUGCAGGAGUGUACUAUAUCAGCCUCAGGUUCCCCUUGGCUCGGAUUCACGGGGGUUGGCUGAAAAAUAGGAGCAUUCCCUUUUGCUCAUGAAAUCAAGAGAAAAUACAGCUUCAAAUGAGGCGUUAAGUCUCGGAGGCGUUGGCUGUUAUGUAAAAUGAAUUAUGGUACAAAGCUGAUAUGAUCUCUUUUGGUGUUAAUGCAGAUGCACUGGCAUGGGAUUUAUUGUAUAGACAGGACGUAUGUUUGAGAGUCUGUCUGUGUUUUAACAGUAUUAUGGUAAGAGGAAUGUUGUAUGCUAAAUAAAUUAAGUAUUUCUUGAUUUUCCUCUUUUUAAAACCAGAAAAUGACACACAGUUUUUCCCCGGCUGUAAUCAACGGUGACGUGAGCAUAUUGAGGUCUAGUAUGCGAUUGUGUAUCAAUGUACAUGUGGGUGGUAAGACUCUGGAGUGACAGCCCCAGCUUGGCCCUUGGCCCCCAGCUCUGCCAAUGCUGUGUAACCAGCAGCUGAUUUAUGGCCCCUGGAGCCCUGCUGAGCCUCUUCCUCUUUGGCCCCUGAUGUUUUCCAAGCAAGCCCAGAGAAAGGUUGCUCUGUCCAUCCAGCCUCCAGGAGGAGAGCGUCUUCUCAGAGGAGCCCGAUACGCCCCUCAGACUUGUGGUGUCAAAGGUCAUGCACAUGACAGGCUCAGGGUGGGCUUUGACUUGGCUCAACUUGGACCUCUGUGUUACGUCCCACAGCAA